CCUACGGGAGGCAGCAGUAGGGAAUCUUCCACAAUGGGCGAAAGCCUGAUGGAGCAACGCCGCGUGGGUGAAGAAGGUCUUCGGAUCGUAAAACCCUGUUGUUAGAGAAGAAAGUGCGUGAGAGUAACUGUUCACGUUUCGACGGUAUCUAACCAGAAAGCCACGGCUAACUACGUGCCAGCAGCCGCGGUAAUACGUAGGUGGCAAGCGUUAUCCGGAUUUAUUGGGCUUAAAGGGAACGCAGGCGGUCUUUUAAGUCUGAUGGGAAAGCCUUGGGGUUAACCGGAGUAGUGCAUUGGAAACUGGGAGACUUGAGUGCAGAAGAGGAGAGGGGAACUCCAGGUGUAGCGGUGAAAUGCGUAGAUAUAUGGAAGAACACCAGUGGCGAAAGCGGCUCUCUGGUCUGUAACUGACGCUGAGGUUCGAAAGCGUGGGUAGCAAACAGGAUUAGAUACCCCUGUAGUC
This 465-nucleotide ribosomal RNA is filed under the name uncultured bacterium. RNAcentral describes it as "partial 16S ribosomal RNA". It matches the Rfam family "Bacterial small subunit ribosomal RNA", at positions 338 to 795 of the family's 1533-position model. The record is from RNAcentral.